CAGAGUCAGAAACAAGAAGUUCAGUAUAACUCUCUCUGGAUGGAUAUUCUGUCUACUGCUGGGUGAUAUUGUUGAGGAAACUUUUAGAUGAACUAUAGAAAUCAUGUCUACUCUUUGCCUAAUUAUCUCAAGCUCCAUGGACUAUUCAAGGAUAGUUCAUGGUCCGCAAGCAGAAAUAGCUUAAGAGACUCUACAUAUUCUUCUCUCAGUGAACCUGGGAAACACAGUGUUUGGGGUGGCUCUAGCCCUGAAUUAUGCCAUCUUGUUGCUACCGCAGCCUGUACCACAAGGGAUUAGAGCGUAGACGCAGACAGUGACAGGAGACCUCUGCCAAAGGCCCUGGAGUGCUAGUGUUUACAUUGUGGAGUCAGGGUACUUCUUAGUGGUUUCCUUAGUGUACCAAGACACAGAUUUGGCCUCGUGAGGAGAAAGUUAGAAAUAAUAUUAUGACAAUAAAGAAAUAUUAUUCAGACAGCAAAUGACUGUUAUACUUUCUUGUUUGUUCAGAUUACUAUUAAAAAGAGAAAAACGUGUAAGUUCACCAUAAAUCAUCCUUUAAGUGGGUCGCACUAUACAAUGGUUUGGGCUAAACAAAGGUUUGAAAAUUUUGGGGGGCCAGAGUAAUGGCAAAUCACUGUGUACACAUAAAUCUUUGGUAUCAGACAUAUACUAAAUUUGGUUCUGAAAAUUCCUGCCAACAAAUACAUGGAUGUGAACCUGGGCCAGCUGAGUUUUCUGAAUUGCAAAUGCCUUUCCAACAGAAGACAAACAGCUGUUUCCUUCAAAGCAACCACACACACGGACACAUCUCUUAGGUAAAGGUUUAAACUAACAUACUGCAGAAGAAACAGCUAUGAAGUGUCUUUAACUGGGAAAAGAAAUACAGCCUUCUAAACUCAUGGUCUCUGCAAAGCCUGCCGUGCUAAGGCAAUCUUGACAAACUGUACCAACAAUACAGUUCACACCUGGUUCUGAGGUUCAGAUGGAAGAAACGCUAAUUUCUCCAUAUGUGUAAAACAGCCCUUCUCAGCCUAUUCUUUUUAUCAUCCUUGGAUAAUUUUUUAGACAUUUUUCUUUGGUUUUUAAUCCAUACCAACCCUGCUCAAAUUUCAGUAGGACGGGUAGGCUAUAUAUCUGUUUAUGUAUCUCACAAGCCAGUUAAGAUAAUAAAGAUUUUUUUUCAUCUUCAAGAACCAAUUUUCAUCCAUGAGGAUUAUCAAUUAUGUUGCAAAAACAUACUCUGUACAGUAACUUGAGAAAAAUAACUAAAUCGGUGAGUUCAUAUAGGAUGUUGCAGCUUGUCAUGCACAGUGCUGGGAAGCAGUUUCCCUUCCUGUUUGCUUCAAUUUAGGAUCAGGGAGAUAAAGAACACCCUUUCAAUAAUUAGGAUAGACACAAGAUAAAAAUAAAGAUUGUGUCACUUACAGGUCCUGGGGAGUACAUGGCAUGCCUGGGGUCACACAUAGAGGUCAGGAAGUGCACGGAAAGAGGGAAGGGAGUAAGGAGUAGGGGAAAAGGGAGGGUGUAGGAACAGGGAAGGGGACGUUACUAGGACCUCUGUAGUUGAGUCCUACUCUCCUGUGAGCCACGGCAGCACAAGGUGAAUUAACUUAUUAUACAGGAAAGGUAGAAGCUACACUUUGCGCCCGAUCAGUACUGCUCUGGGUGGCAAAGACGAAAGGCCCUGAGCUUGUCACACCUUUAUUCAGUACAUCGGGAGAAAUAAAUGUAACAAAUGACUCGGGGGCAGGGGAAAUCCUAGAUCAAUGAGGAACUGAGUAGAUGAAGAUUUCAUUCUUCCCAGGAUGUCUUCAGCUGGUGUAAUCCUGCCCUGGGAGCAUCACAGCAUCACUGGACCAUUGAGGUCUCAGUUGUGACCAAAGGCCAAAAUGAAGCCAUGUCUCGAAAUGCCGUAGCUGGCCUGUAGGCAGGAGAACUAGGCCUAAUCAAAUGAUUUCUCCCCCAAAUUAUGUAGAAUUGCUCCCGACAGGAGAGGGAGAGGAGAUAUAUAUCUGCCCCAGAUCCACAUCCAUAUAUUUCUUAGGAGACAGAGACAGAGACAGAGACAGACAGACACCAGGGUGCUCUUCAAACAGGUUUCCCUUUGGAUUUCACUGAUGAGCUUAAAGCAAGUGGGCAUGAGUUCCAUGGAUUCACACUGUGAUGGGGAGUGGUCACUGUGGUGCAUCUGCACAUUCUGCGUGGGGAAUGGGAGUCAACAGUGCCAGUCAAGGGGGCUGUCAAGCUAUGCCAACCAGGAGGCAGUUAUAAAGGGCAGCUAUCUGCCUGGACUACACUGAGCAACUGAGAAGGGGCAUGGAACUGGAAACUUCAUGGCUAAAUGGAUGAGAAGGGUAAACACAUUCCAAGUGCACACUGAGUCCACAUAAAAGUGUAGGAAUUUACCACAUUCUUCCAAAACUCAUACCCAACAGGGCACACUGCUGAGGCCUCAGUGACAUUCUCUCAACCAGGUGCCUCAUUUUGGCCCAAUACCAUCUUCCUUCCUAAAAGACAGAAUCAUUCAAACAGCCUUGAUCCCCAAUGCCUUUAUGAUAUAAGCCAAGCACAGGGAUAUCAAAACUGCUAGAAUUUAAAAGUAUCCAAACUAUGAGUGACUCAUUAUACUCUUAAUACUGAUCAACUAUAAGUCUAUUAAAAAUAGAUUACAUAAUUAGCUAAAAAAUUCUAAGUGGCUAUAAACACAUCAAUUUGUAAUCAGUGAUACUACGUUUUUGAAGGAUCUUCUGGAAAAUUCACAAGGAUGAGUACUGAUACCAGCAGAACCCAAAUGUAAAUGCCAUGCUGGAUAGUAAGUGAUACUAGAACCUUGUCUUCCUCCAUAGAUCUCCCCUGGAGGAAGCACAACAAAGCAACCAAGAACAUUCCUGAUAUUUCCUUUCAAUCCUAAUUUAAGUGUGUCCAUUUACUAAAGAUCUAUCAGUUACACUCAUUCAUGCAUAACCCCAACUUUUGGUUUCAUGGAUUUUCUCUAUUUUUUUCUUUCUUUAUGUCAUCAAUUUUUUCUCACAUCUUUAUUAUUUACUUACCUCUGGUUGCUUUUAGCUUCAUUUUCUUAGUAUUUUUCUUAUUUUUUUAACUGGAAGCUUGAGCUAUUUAUCUUUAUUCCAAUGUAGUCAUCUCACUAAGCACAUCAUUAGUUGUAUUACAUUCAGUAUAAAAUGUUAUGGUUUAAAACUUUUUCAUUCAUCCAUAGGUUCUAUAAAGUGUGUUAAUUUCCAAAUAUUUGGCAAUUUCCAAAUUCAUUUUUGUUCUGACUUCUAUUUUUCCUAUCAGCAUAGAACAUAGUCUACAUAAUUUCAAUUCUUUUAAGUUUAAUGAGUAUAUUUUUAACCUAAUCUCUCUUUGUAUAUUCUCCUCCUGCCCCCCAAGGUCAAGUUGGUGGAUAAAAGUCUUAUUACUGUUGAAUUACCUUUUAUCCAUUUCAUCAUGUGAUCUUUUCCUUUACCUAACUUGGAGCACUGUUGUUAGUGAUUGUAUGAUUAUAAUUAUUAAGUAUUCCAGAGUAUAAUUAACCUUCUACCAUGAUAUAAUAGAUUUGUUUAUCUCUAGCAAUAUUUUAUCUUCAAGUCUGUUUUCUGGGAUGUCAGUAUAGCCACUCCAGCUAUCUUCUAGGAAUUCUUUCCCUCCCUCUUUCUUCUCUUUCUCUGUCUCUGUCUCUUUCGCAGCUUUUCUCAUUCAAACUAUUUGUGACUUUUAAGAGUGUCUUGGUGGUAGAUAGUCUACAGUGACUUCAUUUUUUUUUAAAACAUAGAAUAUCCCAGUCUCUUCAAAAGUUGAAGGCAACUGUCAUAAGGCCGGAUUUAUGACUGUCAUUUUCCUCUCUGUUUCCUAUGUCUAUGUCUCUUUGAUUCUUUGUUCAUUUUUAAAUGCCUUUUUUUGUGUAAAAAAUAGGUAUUUUCUGUGAUGCUAUUUUAAUUCUUUGGAAAUUCUUCUAAUCUUUUUGAGUUAUUUUCUUCACAGUGGUCCUAGUGUUUAUGAAAUGUAGUUGGUUUUGUUUUGGUAGUAAAAUAUGCACAAGACAAUUAAUCAUUUUUAAGUGUACAAUUCAUUGACAUUAAUUGUAUCCACAACCAUGCAGCCCUAUACCCCACCCACUUCCAGAACUUAAAUUAGCACAAUGUACUUUAGAUUAAAAAUGACUUUGUCAUGUAGCCCAUUCUAUGUCUUACAGAGAAGCAGCUGUUGCUUAUUUUGUAUACAUUCUCAAUAGAUCAUUUAUUACAGUCAUCCUUUAUCCAGCACAUUUGUAAAAGGGACAGGUGACAGAUACUAAAUGCUAAAUAUCCCACCCCUCUUGCACACUAUUAAGUCAUGGAGACCAGGGAAUACAAUGAGCCAGCCCAUGACUGACCAGCACAGACAGACUCUCAUUAUCACUGCAGUGUUGCAAUUCCCUAAGAAGAGUAUCAGCAUUGUCAUGUGCAGGAAAAAAUGUUUAUCGUGAGAAUUUCCACUAUGUCUCAAGAAUGGAUGGUAGAAUUAUUUCUAACAAUUCCCUUCAUGUUAUGUCUUAAGAGCAAUGCAUAAACUUUUUCAUAUAUAACCUAUUUUUGGUAUGUGUUGACCUGUGGGAAUACAGUAAAAAUGUGAGAACAUGAGAAGCACAUGUGUCCACGUACCAGAUAAGAGGAUUUAUUAUGUGUCUGCAUAGAAGGUAUAUUAACUUAUAACUCUACUGAGAUGUUUCUGAUAUCAUUAUAGUACUGAUAGUGCAAAAUUCUGAGGGAGGAAAAAGAAGCCCUGGAUGUUUCACCAAUUUACUAAUGUCUUAUACUAUUUGGAUUAACAGACUUUGUAAAAGAAAUUUAAUUCUAACUUACUAAUAAAAAUCACUUAGAAAAAUACAUGUAUUAAAAAUGGCAGGCAUCAUUUUGAUCUCUCACACAGAAGAAGCUGGUGACAAACUAAAGUGACAAAAAUUGUCUUUCUUUGGUGUUAGUAAGAAUUCCAAGCAGCAAACUUUUGUUCCUUCCCAUCAACAUCAUUUCCAAUCUACAAUAGAGGAUUUGGGGAAUUGGAAAGCAAAACUUACCUAACUGAGUAUUUAGCAACAAGUGCUUGCAAAGAAUUUUCCAGGUAAUCAUUUAACCAUCUGUAUGACAAGAACAAUUAACACUAACUCUGUGGAAUGUGGAUGAAUAGAAAUAAAAUGAAAUGGGAUAAUACUAGAAAACAGAAAAAAAUGAAAUUGUAGAAAUAAAAUUUCUAAAAUACUGGUCUUGAAGUGUCAUUAGUACACCCACCACAUUAUAACUGUGGUCUAUCUUCAAAAUGGCUGAAAACCCUUUGAGGAUAUAUAAAACUGGCCAAGAAAAUCCACAUAAAAACAAGAAUUAGAAACAUAAUCAUUUCACAUCUAAAAUGCUUGUAGCUGAAGCUAACACUCAUUUGUAUAUGAAAUCACUCAGCCUAUGAGAAAAAAGAAACAAUUCAAUGCUAGAGCCUAGUUAGCAA
This 5478-nucleotide long non-coding RNA is filed under the name Heterocephalus glaber (naked mole-rat). RNAcentral's name for it is "lncRNA (ENSHGLG00000049293.1)". The record is from RNAcentral. Lineage: Eukaryota; Metazoa; Chordata; Mammalia; Rodentia; Bathyergidae.